UGGGGAAUUUUGGACAAUGGGCGAAAGCCUGAUCCAGCAAUGCCGCGUGUGUGAAGAAGGCCUUCGGGUUGUAAAGCACUUUUGUCCGGAAAGAAAUCCUUGGCUCUAAUACAGUCGGGGGAUGACGGUACCGGAAGAAUAAGCACCGGCUAACUACGUGCCAGCAGCCGCGGUAAUACGUAGGGUGCAAGCGUUAAUCGGAAUUACUGGGCGUAAAGCGUGCGCAGGCGGUUUGCUAAGACCGAUGUGAAAUCCCCGGGCUCAACCUGGGAACUGCAUUGGUGACUGGCAGGCUAGAGUAUGGCAGAGGGGGGUAGAAUUCCACGUGUAGCAGUGAAAUGCGUAGAGAUGUGGAGGAAUACGAUGGCGAAGGCAGCCCCCUGGGCCAAUACUGACGCUCAUGCACGAAAGCGUGGGGAGCAAACAGGAUUAGAUACCCUGGUAGUCCACGCCCUAAAACGAUGUCAACUAGGUUGUUGGGGGAUUCAUUUCCUUAGUAACGUAGCUAACGCGUGAAGUUGACCGCCUGGGGAGUACGGUCGCAAGAUUAAAACUCAAAUGAAUUGACGGGGUCAUAGCUGUUUCCU
This 587-nucleotide ribosomal RNA is filed under the name uncultured bacterium. RNAcentral describes it as "partial 16S ribosomal RNA". It matches the Rfam family "Bacterial small subunit ribosomal RNA", at positions 355 to 1375 of the family's 1533-position model. The record is from RNAcentral.